UGUUAUUUACAAACGACAGUGCAUUCAGCAGCCCAGUGCCGUGAGCCCUGACAGAUGCCGUAUUUCUGAGUGCUUCCAUGUGAAUGCUGCCCUCCUGUAGCAUGUGUCCAAGUGGACAUAGCCACUAACCAACUAGUUACCUUUGGACUGCAACAAAAAAUGUGAAAAUGAAGAUUUAUUUCUUUUAAUUUACUUAAAAAGAAACCUCUGUGCUAGCAAUAAAGCAUUUAUAUUGUGU
Molecule: long non-coding RNA, 238 nt
Filed under: Homo sapiens (human)
Lineage: Eukaryota; Metazoa; Chordata; Mammalia; Primates; Hominidae
Description: non-protein coding lnc-ADAM10-10:1
Source: RNAcentral